This 584-nucleotide long non-coding RNA is filed under the name Medicago truncatula (barrel medic). RNAcentral's name for it is "lncRNA gene500". Lineage: Eukaryota; Viridiplantae; Streptophyta; Magnoliopsida; Fabales; Fabaceae. The record is from RNAcentral.
GAUCGAGCGGUUUUUCGAUAAUGAAGAGCAAGCUCUAAGCAAUAGAGAACCGGUCCAGCUGAAGAAGGAAGACAAACCGGGUUGAAAAUUUGGUUCGAACCCAUCGGAAUUGUGGGCCAACCAUUACAUGGGUCAUCAUUGUUAGCCACAACGAACCCUUCCACGUAAUCAAAACCGUCACCUUCUGGUAGAGUCACCAGCCACUCUGCAUCUCUAGACGAGUCCUUUCUCCGCCAUGGCUUGGCCGUUGAUGGAGUGACCGUUACCACGCGCCGCCACUGUUAAAUUUGUGGUGGUUGCUGCUGCUUUAACGGCUUUUACAACAUCAGCGGUGGUGUAAGGGCGGAGUACGGCGAGGGGAGUGGAGGAUUUCAUGCCGCCGAAGUCUUUACUAGCGAUGGAAUUUGGGGCGAAAUGGAAAGAAGAUUGGAGAGAUGAAACGUCGUCGUUUGGUGGUGAUUCUGUGUCGUUUCCAUGAACGAAGUGUUCAAGGUAAGCUAUCAUGUUUGAGUUGUGUGAAAUGAAGAUGAAGAAGAGUUUCGUUUUUUCAGUUGAAGAGAUUGAGUUUGAGAAGUAAGUGAAGU